UACGUAGGGUGCAAGCGUUGUCCGGAAUUAUUGGGCGUAAAGAGCUUGUAGGCGGUUUGUCGCGUCUGCUGUGAAAUUUCGGGGCUCAACCCCGAACUUGCAGUGGGUACGGGCAGACUAGAGUGUGGUAGGGGAGACUGGAAUUCCUGGUGUAGCGGUGAAAUGCGCAGAUAUCAGGAGGAACGCCGAUGGCGAAGGCAGGUCUCUGGGCCAUAACUGACGCUGAGAAGCGAAAGCAUGGGGAGCGAACAGG
This 253-nucleotide ribosomal RNA is filed under the name uncultured bacterium. RNAcentral describes it as "partial 16S ribosomal RNA". It matches the Rfam family "Bacterial small subunit ribosomal RNA", at positions 524 to 776 of the family's 1533-position model. The record is from RNAcentral.